Molecule: ribosomal RNA, 253 nt
Filed under: uncultured bacterium
Lineage: Bacteria
Description: partial 16S ribosomal RNA
Rfam family: Bacterial small subunit ribosomal RNA
Source: RNAcentral
UACGUAGGUGGCGAGCGUUGUCCGGAUUUAUUGGGCGUAAAGGGCGCGCAGGUGGUGCGGUAAGACUGCCGUGAAAUCUCCCGGCUCAACUGGGAGGGGGCGGUGGAGACUGCCGGACUAGAGGCACUCAGAGGCCGGUGGAAUUCCCGGUGUAGUGGUGAAAUGCGUAGAGAUCGGGAGGAACACCAGUGGCGAAGGCGGCCGGCUGGGGGUGACCUGACGCUGAGGCGCGAAAGCGUGGGGAGCGAACCGG